AAUCUUACCGCAAUGGACGAAAGUCUGACGGAGCAACGCCGCGUGAACGAUGAAGGCUUUCGGGGUCGUAAAGUUCUGUUGUUAGGGAAGAACAAGUACCGGAGUAACUGCCGGUACCUCGACGGUACCUAACCAGAAAGCCACGGCUAACUACGUGCCAGCAGCCGCGGUAAUACGUAGGUGGCAAGCGUUGUCCGGAAUUAUUGGGCGUAAAGCGCGCGCAGGCGGUUCCUUAAGUCUGAUGUGAAAGCCCCGGCUCAACCGGGGAGGGUCAUUGGAAACUGGGGAACUUGAGUGCAGAAGAGGAGAGCGGAAUUCCACGUGUAGCGGUGAAAUGCGUAGAGAUGUGGAGGAACACCGGUGGCGAAGGCGGCCCCCUCGGACAGAUACUGACACUCAGAUGCGAAAGCGUGGGGAGCAAACAGGAUUAGAUACCCUGGUAG
RNAcentral lists this ribosomal RNA (443 nucleotides) under uncultured bacterium. RNAcentral describes it as "bacterial SSU rRNA". It matches the Rfam family "Bacterial small subunit ribosomal RNA", at positions 359 to 793 of the family's 1533-position model. The record is from RNAcentral.